This 621-nucleotide non-coding RNA is filed under the name unclassified sequences. The record is from Rfam.
CUUAUAACAACAAAAAAUUGGGAACUCAGUGAAGAAGAGCUUAAUCAACUCUGCUGAGAGCAAUUUGAACGUAGAGUAAAUGUUAUAUGGGAUACUGUAUAGUGUUUACUUCUUACUGCGAGUGAUCAAAGUAAGAAAGAAGAAGAUUCUUCAAAUACAAGAAUUGCGUGCCUAAAACUAUGAAUAAAAGGUCUGUUUAACAAAUCGGUGUGACAAUUGAGCAGGUAUACGAUUUUUAAUCGGAUACUGACACGACCUUUAAGUUUUGAUUAGGGAUAAUCAAAUUACUAAAGGUAAUAUCCAAAACAAGCACUUGCCAAUGAUCUGACGAAAGUCAAGUAUAAGACAAAUCAAAACAGGACAAGUACCAUAAGGCGAAAGUUUGAUAAUUUGUUUAAAAAAGUAUCACAUUUAUAAAUUGACAAAUAACAAUCUAUAAAUUUUACUUCUGAAAGAUAUGGGAAAGUUGGGAGUAGCAAAAUCUCCUCUAGGCAUACGGCGUAGAGCAGGGCAUAUAGGUUAGAACGACGGUUCGACACCUCAGGUAUGUUUUCCUAGUGACUGAAUGUAUUGCAGUAGUUUUAUAAGGUAGGGCGAAGGUCCCCCAAUUAACUUAUAAAA